AAAGGAAAGGAAAGGAAAGGAAAGGAAAGGAAAGGAAAGAAANAGGAAAGGAAAGGAAAGGAAAGGAAAGGAAAGGAAAGGAAAGAAAGGGAAAGGAAAAAAAGAAGAAAAAAGAAAAGAAAAGAAAAGAAAAGAAAAGAAAAGAAAAGAAAAGAAAAGAAAAGAAAAGAAAAGAAAAGAAAAGAAAAGAAAAGAAAAGGAAAGGAAAGAAAAGA
Molecule: long non-coding RNA, 215 nt
Filed under: Dunaliella salina
Lineage: Eukaryota; Viridiplantae; Chlorophyta; Chlorophyceae; Chlamydomonadales; Dunaliellaceae
Description: long non-coding RNA (DSAL_LNC000126)
Source: RNAcentral